UUGAAAAAUACGGGAGAAACCAAUUAUUUGGAGCCGAAGGCGUAAGUUACUUGUUUGCCACAAGUAGCGAAACUCUCAGGCAAAAGGACCGUAUUUUGACA
This 101-nucleotide non-coding RNA is filed under the name Garciella nitratireducens. RNAcentral's name for it is "Glycine sequence". It matches the Rfam family "Glycine riboswitch aptamer". From Rfam's summary of the family: This family represents the bacterial glycine riboswitch. RNAcentral also lists the same sequence under 1 other name. Lineage: Bacteria; Bacillati; Bacillota; Clostridia; Eubacteriales; Eubacteriaceae. The record is from RNAcentral.